This 102-nucleotide small nucleolar RNA is filed under the name Mesocricetus auratus (golden hamster). Its description in RNAcentral is "Small nucleolar RNA SNORA28 (ENSMAUG00000003840.1)". The record is from RNAcentral. Lineage: Eukaryota; Metazoa; Chordata; Mammalia; Rodentia; Cricetidae.
AUGCAUAAAUUCUGACACAAUUUGAGCCUGCAACAGCAAGAAAGUCAACCUAUGCCAGUGUUCUCUUCCCCAUGAGGCAAGCUGUUCAUAGGCUCAAAGAAU